CACUAGGUGUCUGAAGCAAGUUGGGGUCUCUUAAACCUCCUAUAGUAAUUUAGCAAUUACUCCUAGUGA
This 69-nucleotide transfer RNA is filed under the name Paegniodes cupulatus. RNAcentral describes it as "tRNA-Lys". The record is from RNAcentral. Lineage: Eukaryota; Metazoa; Arthropoda; Insecta; Ephemeroptera; Heptageniidae.